Molecule: long non-coding RNA, 205 nt
Organism: Corvus hawaiiensis (hawaiian crow)
Lineage: Eukaryota; Metazoa; Chordata; Aves; Passeriformes; Corvidae
Exons: 3
Source: RefSeq, a predicted model, not a curated record
AUACCUAGUUCAGAGGAGAAACUGUAUCCCAAUGCCUAACAUGGUGUAUUCACUGAUAAAGAGGCUGGUUUCCAUUCCAUCAGACAGCAAAUAUACUGAGAGAUUGACAGACUCGCUAGACUUUAAUUAAGAUUACUUGAAUAUGGGAAGUAGCUGACUGCUGGCAGAUGAAGUAGUUCCACUCAAAUCGACCUACUGUGUCAAG